This 484-nucleotide ribosomal RNA is filed under the name uncultured bacterium. RNAcentral describes it as "partial 16S ribosomal RNA". It matches the Rfam family "Bacterial small subunit ribosomal RNA", at positions 30 to 507 of the family's 1533-position model. The record is from RNAcentral.
AUUGAACGCUGGCGGCAGGCCUAACACAUGCAAGUCGAGCGGAUGAAGGGAGCUUGCUCCUGGAUUCAGCGGCGGACGGGUGAGUAAUGCCUAGGAAUCUGCCUGGUAGUGGGGGAUAACGUCCGGAAACGGGCGCUAAUACCGCAUACGUCCUGAGGGAGAAAGUGGGGGAUCUUCGGACCUCACGCUAUCAGAUGAGCCUAGGUCGGAUUAGCUAGUUGGUGGGGUAAAGGCCUACCAAGGCGACGAUCCGUAACUGGUCUGAGAGGAUGAUCAGUCACACUGGAACUGAGACACGGUCCAGACUCCUACGGGAGGCAGCAGUUGGGAAUAUUGGACAAUGGGCGAAAGCCUGAUCCAGCCAUGCCGCGUGCGUGAAGAAGGUCUUCGGAUUGUAAAGCACUUUAAGUUGGGAGGAAGGGCAGUAAGUUAAUACCUUGCUGUUUUGACGUUACCAACAGAAUAAGCACCGGCUAACUUCGUG